AGCUCCGCAAGUGUAUAUCUAUGUUGCUGCGGUUAAAAAGCUCGUAGUUGGAUCUGCGUGUUUAGCGUCCGGUUCAACUUUUGGUUGUUACUGGAACGCGACACAGAUGUGCUGGUUUGGUGUUGAUGCUCUUAAUCGGGUGUCAGCGCCGGCUAGCGAGUUUACUUUGAAAAAAUUAGAGUGCUCAAAACAGGCGUUUCGCCUGAAUAUUUCUGCAUGGAAUAAUAGAAUAGGACUUCGAUUCUAUUC
Molecule: ribosomal RNA, 249 nt
Filed under: Chromadorea environmental sample
Lineage: Eukaryota; Metazoa; Nematoda; Chromadorea
Description: partial small subunit ribosomal RNA
Rfam family: Eukaryotic small subunit ribosomal RNA
Source: RNAcentral